GUAGGGGAGCGAGCGUUAUCCGGAAUUAUUGGGCGUAAAGCGUGCGUAGGCGGUUUAUUAAGUCUGAUGUGAAAUCCCCCGGCUCAACCGGGGAGGGUCAUUGGAAACUGGUAAACUUGAGUACAGUAGAGGCAAGUGGAAUUCCAUGUGUAGCGGUAAAAUGCGUAGAUAUAUGGAGGAACACCAGUGGCGAAGGCGGCUUGCUGGGCUGGAACUGACGCUGAGGCACGAAAGCGUGGGGAGCAAACAGGAUUAGAUACCCUGGUAGUCCACGCCGUAAACGAUGGGUACUAAGUGUUGGCAGAGAUGUCAGUGCUGUAGUUAACGCAUUAAGUACCCCGCCUGGGGAGUACGGUCGCAAAGACUG
Molecule: ribosomal RNA, 367 nt
Filed under: uncultured organism
Description: partial 16S ribosomal RNA
Rfam family: Bacterial small subunit ribosomal RNA
Source: RNAcentral